This 322-nucleotide long non-coding RNA is filed under the name Malus domestica (apple). Its description in RNAcentral is "long non-coding RNA (MDOM_LNC002729)". The record is from RNAcentral. Lineage: Eukaryota; Viridiplantae; Streptophyta; Magnoliopsida; Rosales; Rosaceae.
CAGUGCGAGGGGUCAAUGACGGUGACAAAUCGGUCACCGAAAUCCUCACACAGGCCCAAGAUGACCUUGUUCGUUGCCAAAGAGCAUUGGCCUCUGUUGAAGUUCCGCUUCCUAUGCCAGUAUCGACGACGAACUUUUGGGUCAUGUUAUAUAGGGAUGUUGCAUUCCUUGUUUCUUCCCAGUUAUUCAAUAUCUAGAAAAAGAUAUGAGAAUAGUGUAUUGAAAUUUGAAAAUACACGCCUACCAAAGAAAUGUAUCUGUGAUUACUAUAAAUAAAAAGGAUAGAAAUUUGAAGAAAUGAAAAAAAUUUGAUAUGAAUAAC